This 1346-nucleotide ribosomal RNA is filed under the name uncultured bacterium. Its description in RNAcentral is "partial 16S ribosomal RNA". It matches the Rfam family "Bacterial small subunit ribosomal RNA", at positions 28 to 1381 of the family's 1533-position model. The record is from RNAcentral.
GACGAACUCUGGCGGCGUGCUUAACACAUGCAAGUCGAACGGAAAGGCCCUGCUUUUGUGGGGUGCUCGAGUGGCGAACGGGUGAGUAACACGUGAGUAACCUGCCCUUGACUUUGGGAUAACUUCAGGAAACUGGGGCUAAUACCGGAUAGGAGCUCCUGCUGCAUGGUGGGGGUUGGAAAGUUUCGGCGGUUGGGGAUGGACUCGCGGCUUAUCAGCUUGUUGGUGGGGUAGUGGCUUACCAAGGCUUUGACGGGUAGCCGGCCUGAGAGGGUGACCGGCCACAUUGGGACUGAGAUACGGCCCAGACUCCUACGGGAGGCAGCAGUGGGGAAUAUUGCACAAUGGGCGGAAGCCUGAUGCAGCAACGCCGCGUGCGGGAUGACGGCCUUCGGGUUGUAAACCGCUUUCGCCUGUGACGAAGCGUGAGUGACGGUAAUGGGUAAAGAAGCACCGGCUAACUACGUGCCAGCAGCCGCGGUGAUACGUAGGGUGCGAGCGUUGUCCGGAUUUAUUGGGCGUAAAGGGCUCGUAGGUGGUUGAUCGCGUCGGAAGUGUAAUCUUGGGGCUUAACCCUGAGCGUGCUUUCGAUACGGGUUGACUUGAGGAAGGUAGGGGAGAAUGGAAUUCCUGGUGGAGCGGUGGAAUGCGCAGAUAUCAGGAGGAACACCAGUGGCGAAGGCGGUUCUCUGGGCCUUUCCUGACGCUGAGGAGCGAAAGCGUGGGGAGCGAACAGGCUUAGAUACCCUGGUAGUCCACGCUGUAAACGGUGGGUACUAGGUGUGGGGUCCAUUCCACGGGUUCCGUGCCGUAGCUAACGCUUUAAGUACCCCGCCUGGGGAGUACGGCCGCAAGGCUAAAACUCAAAGGAAUUGACGGGGCCCCGCACAAGCGGCGGAGCAUGCGGAUUAAUUCGAUGCAACGCGUAGAACCUUACCUGGGUUUGACAUGGAUCGGGAGUGCUCAGAGAUGGGUGUGCCUCUUUUGGGGUCGGUUCACAGGUGGUGCAUGGCUGUCGUCAGCUCGUGUCGUGAGAUGUUGGGUUAAGUCCCGCAACGAGCGCAACCCUUGUUCACUGUUGCCAGCACGUUAUGGUGGGGACUCAGUGGAGACCGCCGGGGUCAACUCGGAGGAAGGUGGGGAUGACGUCAAGUCAUCAUGCCCCUUAUGUCCAGGGCUUCACGCAUGCUACAAUGGCUGGUACAGAGAGUGGCGAGCCUGUGAGGGUGAGCGAAUCUCGGAAAGUCGGUCUCAGUUCGGAUUGGGGUCUGCAACUCGACCUCAUGAAGUCGGAGUCGCUAGUAAUCGCAGAUCAGCAACGCUGCGGUGAAUACGUUCCCGGGGCU